Molecule: ribosomal RNA, 1427 nt
Filed under: Dendropsophus schubarti (Schubart's Rondonia treefrog)
Lineage: Eukaryota; Metazoa; Chordata; Amphibia; Anura; Hylidae
Description: partial 16S ribosomal RNA
Rfam family: Bacterial large subunit ribosomal RNA
Source: RNAcentral
GCUAAAAAUCUAGCCCUAUUUUUUCAUAUGAUGAUACUCCAACCUAUACCACAAACUAAAACAUUUAUUACACUUUAGUAAAGGCGAUUGAAAAAUUUAUUAGAGCUAUAACAAUAGUACCGCAAGGAAAAGAUGAAAUAAAAAUGAAAUAAAUUUUAAGCAUAAAAAAGCAGAGACUUAUCCUCGUACCUUUUGCAUCAUGAUUUAACUAGUUUAAUCAAGCAAAAAGAACUUCAGUUUGACUUCCCGAAACUAGGCGAGCUACUUCGAGGCAGCCUAUUAGAGCCCACCCGUCUCUGUUGCAAAAGAGUGGGAAGACCCCCAAGUAGCGGUGACAGACCUAACGAGCCUAGUGAUAGCUGGUUUCUUAAGAAAAGGAUUUUAGUCCUACCUAAAGCCCCUUAUAUAUACCUAAAUAAUAUUUAUGCUUUAGCGCUACUCAAAUGAGGUACAGCCCAUUUGAGAUAAGGAUACAACCUAGACCAAUGGGUAACUUUUAACUUUUAUAAAAAAGUGGGCCUAAAAGCAGCCACCUUUAAAACAGCGUCAAAGCUUACUUAUACAAUUUUAUUAAUUCCUUUAUCCCUCAACAACCCUUCAUUCGUAUUAAGUUUCUCUAUAUUUUUAUAGAGGUUAUUAUGUUAAAACUAGUAACAAGAAGAUAGACCUUCUCUUAAAUGUAAGUGCAAAUCAGAAAGGACAAACCACUGAUAACUAACGCCAUGAGUAAAAAACAGUAACUCCACUAGAAAACCCUGUUUUUCCCAACGUUAACCUGACACUAGAACAUUACAAGAAAGAUUAAAAGAAAAAGAAGGAACUCGGCAAACUUUAACCUCGCCUGUUUACCAAAAACAUCGCCUCUUGCCUAAUAUAAGAGGUCCAGCCUGCCCAGUGACUAAGUUCAACGGCCGCGGUAUCCUAACCGUGCGAAGGUAGCGUAAUCACUUGUUCUUUAAAUGAGGACUAGUAUGAAUGGCACCACGAGGGUUAUACUGUCUCCUUUUUCUAAUCAAUGAAACUGAUCUCCCCGUGAAGAAGCGGGGAUACUAAUAUAAGACGAGAAGACCCUAUGGAGCUUUAAACUUUAAUAACACUGAUUUAUACAUUAUCAAAUUUCAGAAUUUUUAAUAAAGAUAUUAAUCAGAGUGUCUAUUAGUUUUAGGUUGGGGUGACCGCGGAGCAAAAAUUAACCUCCACGUUGAACGGAAUCUAUCCUGAGCCGAAAGCUACAACUUUAAGCACCAAUAAAAUGACAAUAAUUGACCCAAAAAUUUGAGCAACGAACCAAGUUACCCUAGGGAUAACAGCGCAAUCCAUUUCAAGAGCCCCUAUCGACAAAUGGGUUUACGACCUCGAUGUUGGAUCAGGGUAUCCCAGUGGUGCAGCCGCUACUAAAGGUUCGUUUGUUCAACGAUUAAAACCCU